Molecule: non-coding RNA, 70 nt
Organism: Ictidomys tridecemlineatus (thirteen-lined ground squirrel)
Lineage: Eukaryota; Metazoa; Chordata; Mammalia; Rodentia; Sciuridae
Source: Rfam
GGGAUUGUGGCUCAGUGGUAGAGCGUGCGCCUUGCACAUGUGAGGUACUGGGUUCGAUCCUCAGCACCCA